ACCCGGGAAACUGGGUAUAAUACCCGAUAGGUCUCGAUUGCUGGAAUGCAUCGAGAUUUAAAGCUCCGGCGCCUAAGGAUGGGUCUGCGGCCUAUCAGGUAGUAGUGGGUGUAGCGUACCUACUAGCCUACGACGGGUACGGGUUGUGAGAGCAAGAGCCCGGAGAUGGAUUCUGAGACACGAAUCCAGGCCCUACGGGGUGCAGCAGGCGCGAAAACUUUACAAUGCUGGCAACAGCGAUAAGGGAACCUCGAGUGCCAGGUUACAAAUCUGGCUGUCGAGAUGCCUAAAAAGCAUUUCAUAGCAAGGGCCGGGCAAGACCGGUGCCAGCCGCCGCGGUAACACCGGCGGCUCGAGUGGUAACCGUUAUUAUUGGGUCUAAAGGGUCUGUAGCCGGCCGGAUAAGUCUCUUGAGAAAUCUGGCAGCUUAACUGUCAGGCUUUCAGGAGAUACUGUCUGGCUCGAGGCCGGGAGAGGUGAGAGGUACUUCAGGGGUAGGGGUGAAAUCUUGUAAUCCUUGAAGGACCACCAGUGGCGAAGGCGUCUCACCAGAACGGACCUGACGGCAAGGGACGAAAGCUAGGGGCACGAACCGGAUUAGAUACCCGGGUAGUCCUAGCCGUAAACGAUACUCGCUAGGUGUCGGCCACGGUGCGACCGUUGUCGGUGCCGUAGGGAAGCCGUGAAGCGAGC
Molecule: ribosomal RNA, 693 nt
Filed under: uncultured archaeon
Lineage: Archaea
Description: bacterial SSU rRNA
Rfam family: Archaeal small subunit ribosomal RNA
Source: RNAcentral